GUUCCCAGGAAGCCCAAAAGGCCUGUCUCACUCCUACUGUGAUCCCCCUCAACAGCACAGAGUUUGUUUCCAGGCAGCUGGUGAACAGUGCUGAGACCUUUCCUCAGGCUAUAAGCCUCCCCACUGAGAAUGCAAGGAGGACUUCCAGGUUUCACGCCUCCCCAUCAGCAAAGGUUUUCUCCACAAGGACACGUGCAAGGCUAAGUCAGGAAUGGAUUCCUGGAACCAAGAGUGUCCACAGGGCUCUUGCUGCUGCUUCCUCUACCACUGUAUUUUAUAUAGUUCUGAAAGUACUCACUGCAGAGACAAAUGGAAAUGAGUCUACUAUAGGAAAAUAACUGGAAGCUUAAAAGUUUUCCUGAGUGAGCUGUGUAAAUGCGACUUGGAAAUGUGACUUCAGGAGAAAGAACCAGGUUCUGAGGUGCAUGUGCAGAACAUUCAGGACUGCUGCAUAGUAAAGGAACUACUGUAUGAGGAGCUCAAACAGCCCUCCGAAGAGAAACACAUGUCAAGGAACUGAAGCCUCCUGCCAAUAACCAGCAUUAAUUUGCCAGAAACAUGUGUAAGCUACUUGGAGGUGAAGCCUGCAGCAUCAGUCGAGCCUUUGCUAACAUCUUGCCUCAAACUCAUAAAAGAUUACCAGCUAAAAUUACCAAAACUACCAGCUAAGCUGUUCCCAAAUUCCUGCUGCAUGGAAAUUCUAUGCUGCCAACAAACAUUUGCUAUCAACUCCUAUUUCCAUGGUCUCUGAAGCAGAAAAAGUGAUUGUGGUAAAGUAUGCACUGGCUCUUAAGGCUUCCACAUGGAAAUGGCACAUGAUACUUCUCUUUAACAUUUAUUUGCCCAAGGUAAGUUAGUGACCAUACUUAAUUUAAAAUCACUGGUGAAGUGCAAUUCUACCAUGUUUCUGUAAGGAGAGGCAAAUUGGACGAUUCAUAAACAGACCUAAUAACCACUAUAAUAGAAAAGGUAGGCCAACAAAGAGCAGGAAGUUGGGGCUUAGGUUAAGCUUAAAGGUAAAGUGGGUGUUGUACAGAGACAGCCAGAAUGGUGGUGUGCAGGGAAAUAGGCAGUACGUUUUGCUCGAUGGGAGAGAUGAUUCAAACCAUUCUACUCUAGGAAGAUGGCUAUUAGUAAGACCUCAAAAUAGCUGGGACCCAAAAGAGUUUUGGCUUCUGAUUCUCACUAAGAAUAGUAAGCAAGAAGACAAUAUUAACCUGGUGGUAAAGGGAUUAUGAGGACUGAAAGCACAACUACAAAUGGCCUUUGUGUAUUAAUCAGUGUUAACUACAUUGGUAAUGAAUUACCUGUUGCACUUGGCUUUCAUUUUACAUUCCUUUGUUCUAUAAUAGAAAAUCAUGUUGUCUUGUCAUUGGCAGUAUGUCUUUUAGUCUCAUUGGAAUGGAUUGAGUAAUUAAUUACCCAGGGUUUUAACUGCAGGCCUGAGACCUCAUCUGGCCCCAACAUACUUUCCACUGGCUGUACUCUUCCUUUUUUAUAUAAUGUAUCAGAUACUAGGUGCUUUAUUUCAGUCAAUACAAUGAAGAUUUCUCUAUGAAUUAACAUUCCAAAGGAGGAGGAGGGAGACAAACAUGAUAUGUAAAUUGCUAGUAUUUAGUAGGUAAUAAGUAUAGCAAGGAGCAUCAGGAAUGCUGGGUAGUAGUGAGUAGAGUUGCAUUUUGAAAUUCUUUCUUUCUUUCUUUCAUAUAUAUCUAUAUAUUUUAAUGCACUUUAGGUUCUGGGGUACAUGUGCAGAACCUGCAGGAUUGUUGCAUAGGUACAUACAUGGCAAGGUGGUUUGCUGUGUUACACCGAACCGAGCAUAGAAAGUCAACACCAAGACAAAAGUAUGCCAAAUUGCAGGGUUUAUUGCCGGUGACCACGGAGGACUCACGUCUGUCCAACUCGUGGCAGAGAAAGAAGGGUGACAAGACCUUUAUAUACCCAUAAAACCACCUUGGGAGUGGGAGUGAGGGGCUUCAGACAUUCCGAGGGCUAGUGGAUUCUGCAAAUCACUUUCUGGGCGGAGAUGAGGGUGAGGGGCUUCCGGACAUUCCAAGGGCCAGGGGACUAUUUGACAUUCUGAUUAUUACUUAAGUGGUUCACAGAAGCUAAGAUUAGCAUUGGUUUACACAUUGUCUGGGUAGUGUGGGGAUCACAGUCCUUAAUUACUUAUUCACAUUUGGGUUACAGAGAGCAGUUUCAACAGAAAGCUGAGGUAUGUUUGAGGUGUGCAGUUUUACGGGCUUUUUACCAUGUCACAUUCCCCCCUUGUUUUAUUUACAGGAAUUAAAUCAUUGAUUCCUCUAACUGGUUAGUAUUGUUUGUUUGUUCUAAGCACUCAUAUUGAGAUCUUAAUAUUAUUAAUUUUAUGGAGUCUACCCUAGAUUUUAUGAACUUGAGCAGUUGGUUUAGGAGGCAGGGGCCGAACAUGAGACCCAGUAAGAGUAGGGCCAGAUGUCCUACCAGGCCGGUGAGGAGGGAAGUGAGCCAAGGGGACCAGGAAAACAUUUUUUAUGCUGGAUGGUAAAGAUGUUUUCCUUGUCCUACCCACUCAUAUAUACCCAGAGACCCUAGGUAUGCCCUGUUGUCCAUCUCCUAUCUGGAUACAGGACUGUUAUUUUGAGUGGGUUACAAGAACCAGUGUAGCAAGGGUUUGGGGGAGAGUCUCGGGUGAAAGAAAUAAAAGAGUCUUUGUUUGUAGCAUAUCCUGAUAUAGUGGAGAUAGUCUCACAGCCCCAGUGGGGCAGAAGAACUCCUCUAAGUUUCCACAAUUCCACCUCUUUCGUGGGGUGGACCCUGGGCAUAGAUAUAGCCCCAUAGUCUGCAGUUGUUUUUUGGCCUCUACGUUACCACACCCCAUUUCCUUUGCUUUCACCAUAUUUCCCCGCCCCCAUCUCUUUGUCGAUAUUUUUAUAUUUAGGCUUUUACUCAAGAGAGUGCAGAGGUCUAGGGAGAAGGUUAUGGGCUCUAUGGGGAUGUACUUUAUGGUUAAAUUGACAAGGGUGGUUCCAGCCCUGAGUACAGUACUAACAAAUUGUCCUGUUAAGCCUUCCGUGAUGACCCAUUGAUAAUAAGUGGGCAUUAAGGGGGGGGUUCCUUUCGGGGGGUGGGUACAGGAAUUAAGAUUAGGAUGACGACUGUGAACAGCAUGAAAGUCUUAGCUUUAGGUGGUCUGCUGAAGCUGAGGUCACUCUCCAUUGUGUGUCCAGGGGUGGGGGGCAGUCUUGACAUGUGAGUGCUGAAUCCAGGCAGUCAGUCUGUCCACCUUGAUGGCCAUGGGGGUGACCAGAAUCCUGUUGUAGGGUCCCUUCCAGUGAGGAGUCAGGCUGGAGGCGAUGAAUCUCUUUACCAGGACUUCGUCUCCCAGCUGAAAGAGGUGUACCGGCUGGUCAGUGAGGUCCCCUGGGGUAGGUUGAGCUCCUCUGAUGAGCGAGUGCACCUGGGACUGAACAGACUGGAGUGCCUCUAAGGACUUAAGGAGUGUUUGGUUAUGGACUUCAGCAUGCACGGUAUCUGCGGGUCUGGGGAGUAAGGGAGGGGGCCUACCAAACAUGAUUUCAAAAGGGGAGAAGACUUUUUGAUAGGGUGUGCAUCGGAUAUGGCGGAGGACAAAAGGAAGCAGGUUGACCCAGUUUUCACCGGUUUCCAGAAUGAAUUUUGUUAAAGUCUCCUUUAUGGUCCGGUUCAUCCUUUCAACCUGACCUGAACUCUGGGGGCGAUAGGCACAGUGUAGCUUCCAGGAUAUGCCCAGGGCCUUGGCCAGGCCCUGUGAAACCUGUGCUGUAAAGGCAGGACCAUUAUCUGAUCCCAGUGUCAGGGGCAAGGCGAACUGAGGAACCAGGUCCUGUAACAAUCUUUUUGUUACUACCAGUGUGGUUUCUGACCUAGUAGGAAAAGCCUCAACCUAUCUAGAAAAAGUGUCUACAAACACAAGGAGGUAUUUACAGCCGCACGCUGGUGGCUUUAUUUCAGUAAAAUCUACCUCCUAGUGUUCCCAUGGGCUAGUACCCCUAAGUCUUAUUCCUGCCUGACUAGUUUUACUGUCUUCUGGAUUUACCCUGUCGCUUACAUUACAAUGAAUAGUAGUUUCCCUAACAAUCUCAUGUAAAUGUGGAAUGUAGUAUCUGGCCCUCAACAGCUCAGUGAGUUUUGUUUGUCCUUAGUGGCCUGGUGUGUCCUUAACUAGAGUCCGUCCUAAAGCCUCGGGGAGCACAAUCCUUAUGUCCGGUAGAAUCCACCAUCCUGUGGAAUCUUGUCGUCCCCUCUGUUCUCUAGCAAAGUUUUCUUCCUCAGGCGAGUACAUUGGGGUAGGAGGCAGGUUUGGGGCUGGCUGAGUCAGAAGAAGAGUCAGAGGUUUUACUGGCCCCAAGGCUGCCUGUCUGGCUUGCAGGUCAGCUGCUGUAUUUCCCCUUGCCUCUGGUGAAUCUCCCUUCUUGUGUCCUUUGCAGUGUAUUAAUGCCACUGCCUUGGGCUUCCAUAUAGCUUUUAGCAGGGCUAGGAUUUCUUCUUUGUUUUUGAAGAUUUUUCCUUCUGAGGUAAGCAAUCCUCUUUCUUUAAAAUGGCCCUAUGUACAUGGGCUGUAGCAAAGGCAUAACGACUAUCAGUGUAGAUAUUGACAGUUUUUCCCUCUGCCCAGUCCAAGGCCUUUAUCAGAGCUAUGAGUUCUGCCUUCUGGGCUGAGGUCCUGUGUGGGAGAGCUUGGGCCCAGAUAACCCGCUCUAGAGUGACCACAGCUGCCCCGGCAUACCUGACUCUGUUGACCAUGAAACUGCUGCCAUCUGUGAACAGUACCUCUUCUGGGUUCUGCAGGGGGAUGUCGGUGAGAUCCGGUCACGCAGCAUGGAGGACAUCUGUAGUUUGUUGGCAGUCAUGUAUGGGCUCCUCUGGCUCGCCGUCAGGUAGCAAUUUGGCGGGGUUUAAAACUGUGGCCUUUAAAAACUUUAUGAGGGGCUGGUCCAAAAGUAGUGACUCCAUCGCAUGGGGAGCUACUAGGUUUAACUCCUGCCUCAAAGUUAGCUUGCCUGCCUCCUGGACUAAUAGGGCUGUGGCCACUACCGCUCUUAGGCAAGCCAGCCAUCUGGAGGCUACAGGAUCAAGUUUUUUUUUUUUUUUGAGAGGUAGGCGACUGGCUGGGACCAGGGUCCCAGAGUUUGGGUGAGCACCCUCUUAGUGACUCCCUGUUUUUCAUGCACAAACAACUGGAAGGGUUUAAAGAUGUCUGGCAAGGCCAAGGCUGGGGCUGCAGUCAGGGCAGUCUUGAGCUUGUCAAUAGCCCGUUGCUCUAUCUCUGUCCAUGUCAAGGGCUGAUUUCCUCCAGUGCAGGCAUACAGGGGCUAUCUCAGCAAAUCCCAAAAUCCAUAGCCUGUAGUACCCUACUGUCUCAAGGAAUUCUCGAACUUGGCAUUUCGUGGUGGGGGUGGGUAUUUGCAGCACUGCUUGGAUUCAGCUGGGUGCCAGUGCCCGGUUGCCCUUCUCUAUAACAUAGUCCAGGUAAGUAACUUUCAGCUGGCAGAGUUGGGCCUUUUUAGCUGAGACCCAGUACUCCAAAGUCUGUAGGGUCCUUAGUAAUGACUGGGUGGUCUCUUUACAGUCCUCCUGGGUUUUUGUGGCCAAGAGUAAGUCAUCCACAUAUUGGAGCAGGGUACAUUCUGGGAACUCAGCUCAGAAAGCAGCAAGGUCUUGGCUCAGCAUCUCAUUAAACAAAGUGGGGGAAUUUUUAAAACCUUGCUGCAGCCUCUCUGCUGGAUUUCUGGUCCCCGUGAGUUAACUCGGGUUUCCUGGAGUGUUGUUAUCACUGCGUUAGUAACUCCCUUAUCUUGCUUGGCCUCUAAGGUAUCCCUAUUGUUAAAAACUUUUUGGGCAAUCUAACAGCUGAGCUAAAUUUAUUUUCUGGAACCCCUUUAAUUUUUGAAAUUUUUCUUUUGAUGUCUGGGACAGACUGGGAAACGAAAGCCAGAUUGAUGGCCCGCUGAUUCUCCGGGGCCUCAGGGUCAACAGGAGUGUAGGUGUGAUAAGCAUCCUGUAGGCACUCAAGGAAAGCAGAUGGGGACGCCUGUGGACCCUGGGUCACGAUCCCUACCUUGGAGAGGUUGGUAAGUUUUUGGGCUGCCCCCGUAACCCCCUCUAACAAGUACCGGUGAAAAUUGUUCAAAGCCUGCAUGCCCACUGGGGUUUUUGGGUCCCAUUGGGGCCUGGUGGAAGGGAAAAUUUCAUUAAUUUGUUCCUGGCAUCUUUUGAUCCUCCCCCCGGUCCCAAGUAUUGCUUUAUGGGCUUCUUGUCUAAUUCUACUCCUCUCCUCUGUGGUGAACAAACUCAGUAAUAAUUGUUGGCAGUCAUUCCAAGUGGGGUGAUGAGUCUGCAGUACAGAUUUUAAGAGCCCUGUCAAAGCCUGGGGCUUCUCAGAGAACGGGGGAUGUUGAACUUUUUGACAGAACUUACUCUACUGUAAAGCCCUGCCACUGCCUUAAGAUCCCCAGCCUCCCAGCACGACCCCCUCCCGGGGAACUUUCCAUCUCACAAGGUUUCUAACCCUCCCCCACUCGCCAGGUUAGCAGUUCCCCAGCCCUCCCAGGAACUAUUAAACUCAGCAAUUCCAAAGCCCCUCCCCUCCUUCACAGCCCCUCACACUGGAGGCAUCUGCCGGCUUGCAGGCCGUAAAAAUUCCCUUUGCAAUGCCACAGGUGCUGCUUGUCAAUUUUGGGUGCAGUCUGGCAGAUAUUUCCUUGCUCUUAAUAAAGCUUGUGUCAUCACUUGGUGUUUUGGCCCUCUCUUUAAUUUCUAUCACCUUCCAGUUAUAUAAGUCCCUUGACAAGAAAGGGAUGUGAACAAAGAAUUGGCGACCCUGAUUGUCUCUCCUGUUGGGGGCACCUCUUGGAGAGGAAGGACCGCCAGUGGGUGUGGGGCCCCGCUGCGGGUGUGCAGGGGGAACAAGGUUUGAUUACUAGUACUGAGGGGAUACUGAGGCCCUGGUUCAGAGGGCAUUCAGUAGGGUGGAGGUAAUUCCUGAUCUUCCGCUGGGGCGGGGAGAAUGGCUGGCCCAGAAGGGGCUUUCUUUGGGCCGGCUAACGUGACCUGAAGUCUAGCCUGUUUUAUGCAACGUUUCAGCCAUGGUGGGAUUGUUGGACUAAAUCUAACCAUAGGUUAAUGUACAGAAACUGGUCAGGGUGUCCAGGAGUUUCUGUGACCAUUUUCCAUACAGCCUGGGUAAAUUUUUUAGUCUUAGGUCUCAGUGUCAGGCCACCUAAUUCUAAAGGAUGACUAUUCUAGUUUAGAUAAAAAGCAGAGUUCUCCAGGGGUUAAUUUUACACCAUAUUGAACUGAAAACCUAACUUCGAAGUUGGCCAUCGUGCAUUGGAGAGGUGCACAAGGCCGGGAGCUAAUGACCCUAUUGGAUUUUUCUUUCAGUUUUUAAAUUUUUCCCUAAGAGAUUU
This is a long non-coding RNA of Callithrix jacchus (white-tufted-ear marmoset), 7433 nucleotides long. RefSeq lists it as uncharacterized. The record is from RefSeq and is a predicted model, not a curated record. Lineage: Eukaryota; Metazoa; Chordata; Mammalia; Primates; Cebidae.